CAGCAGCCGCGGUAAUACGUAGGGUGCGAGCGUUAAUCGGAAUUAUUGGGCGUAAAGGGCUCGCAGGCGGUUUCUUAAGUCUGAUGUGAAAGCCCCCGGCUCAACCGGGGAGGGUCAUUGGAAACUGGGAAACUUGAGUGCAGAAGAGGAGAGUGGAAUUCCACGUGUAGCGGUGAAAUGCGUAGAGAUGUGGAGGAACACCAGUGGCGAAGGCGACUCUCUGGUCUGUAACUGACGCUGAGGAGCGAAAGCGUGGGGAGCGAACAGAAUUAGAUACCCCUGUAGUCCCUGUCUCUUAUAA
RNAcentral lists this ribosomal RNA (301 nucleotides) under uncultured bacterium. RNAcentral's name for it is "partial 16S ribosomal RNA". It matches the Rfam family "Bacterial small subunit ribosomal RNA", at positions 509 to 809 of the family's 1533-position model. The record is from RNAcentral.